CUAAGCGAAAGACAUGAGGCCUCAGCCUGACAUGAGGUGAUUUUGAGGUCAUCCGAUUUCUGGCUAGAAGUGUGCUGUCACCUGGUCCUGAAACCACUUCACACAGAAUGGUUUGCAAUUUUUUUUGGUGAUGGCAUGUUCAGAAUCUUAGAUCCCUAAGUUCAAUAUGUUGGAAAUAUUUAGAAAUCUUGGAAAUUAUAUGAUUACUUAGUAGGUGAAACAGUAAAUAAUAAAAGUAUACAAAAGAACUUUGUCCUUUUAAGUUGGCUGCAUGUUUUAAAUUGUUAGCUGUCAGUAUUAGUGUCAUACUCUUUUGAAGGUUUGGGAAUCUUAGGGAUUUCAUAUUUUCCCAGGUAGUUAUGUAAUUUCUCCCAUGCCUGUUCAGUUAGCUUGUUUUCUUUUCUGUGCUUUGCAGUGUGUGUUACUUAGACCAGAGUAAUUAUUGAUCAGAAAUAAAGAAGAGGGAAAAACAAUCAUCAGGUGACAAUCCAAAGGUGGUGAUUACAAAAUUUCAACUUGGAAACAGUUUAUAUUAGAAUUUGCAAAUUCUACCCAAAUUAUAUCCGAAUACACUUGUGAUAAAAUGCUACCAGUUAUUAUAUAAGACAGAGAUGCUAACGAGGAAGGAAAAGAGCCGUUCAUUUUCACCUCCUUGCUUCCCCCUUCUCUCUUAUCAGAUGAAUGAAUUGUAUAGUAGCUAAAAGGUAGGUGGUGUGAAUAAAAAGGAAAAGAAGGGAAACACCUCUGGUCUCUAAGAAGGAUCAAUUUUCCUCCAGAGUUGGAAGGUCACCUUCUUCCAUGUACCUGAACAGUUUCCAGCUGUGGACUACUCAGUAAGCCUGGACUGUGGCCAGGGGUGACUUUGACCUGGGAUGGGCGGAGUGCUAGUAUUGCACAGUGGUAGACAGCCCUUGAGGAGCUGUUGUGCCCAUCUCUUCCCGGCC
Molecule: long non-coding RNA, 944 nt
Organism: Fukomys damarensis (Damara mole-rat)
Lineage: Eukaryota; Metazoa; Chordata; Mammalia; Rodentia; Bathyergidae
Exons: 2
Source: RefSeq, a predicted model, not a curated record